Molecule: transfer RNA, 72 nt
Organism: Ovis aries (sheep)
Lineage: Eukaryota; Metazoa; Chordata; Mammalia; Artiodactyla; Bovidae
Rfam family: tRNA
About the family: Transfer RNA (tRNA) molecules are approximately 80 nucleotides in length. Their secondary structure includes four short double-helical elements and three loops (D, anti-codon, and T loops).
Source: Rfam
UCCCUGGUGGCUCAGAUGGUAAAGCAUCUGCCCGCAAUGCAGGAGGCCCAGGUUCGAUCCCUGGGUUGGGAA